GACGAACGCUGGCGGCGUGCUUAACACAUGCAAGUCGAACGGUGAAGCGCCUUCCUUUUUGGUGGGUGUGGAUGAGUGGCGAACGGGUGAGUAACACGUGAGUAACCUGCCCCCUUCUUCUGGAUAACCGCAUGAAAGUGUGGCUAAUACGGGAUAUUCUGGGUCUGUCGCAUGAUGGGUCUGGGAAAGAUAUUGUUUCGGUGGGGGAUGGGCUCGCGUCCUAUCAGCUUGUUGGUGGGGUGAUGGCCUACCAAGGCGGUGACGGGUAGCAGGCCUGAGAGGGUCGACGGUCACACUGGGACUGAGACACGGCACAGACGCCUACGGGAGGCAGAAGUGGGGAAUAAUGCACAAUGGGCGAAAGCCUGAUGCAGCGACGCCGCGUGAGGGAUGGCGGCCUUCGGGUUGAGAACCUCUUUCGCCAGUGAAGCAGGCCUGCCUGGUUUGUGGGUGGGUUGACGGUAGCUGGAUAAGAAGCGCCGGCUAACUACGUG
RNAcentral lists this ribosomal RNA (494 nucleotides) under uncultured bacterium. RNAcentral's name for it is "partial 16S ribosomal RNA". It matches the Rfam family "Bacterial small subunit ribosomal RNA", at positions 28 to 507 of the family's 1533-position model. The record is from RNAcentral.